GUGUUGAAGCGUUACCGUGAGGAGGCGUGGAGUGUGUGCGAGUGAGAAUGCAGGCAUGAGUAACGAAUUGGAAGGUGAGAAUCCUUCCCGCCGGAUGACUAAGGGUUCCUGGGUCAAGUUCGUCUUCCCAGGGUGAGUCGGGACCUAAGGCGAGGCCGACAGGCGUAGUCGAUGGAUAACCAGUUGAUAUUCUGGUACCCGAGUAUAUGCGCCCCUGAUAAAGCACUGAUACUAACCACCGUAAGCUGUUGUGAUUGGCCUUCGGGUUAACAUGGUGGCAAGCCGUGGGGCCUGAUGUGUGGUUCAAGCGAUGGGGUGACACAGUGGGGUAGCCAUGCCGCUUAGUGGAUUGUUGGUGUAAGCGUGUAGGUGAUGGUGUAGGUAAAUCCGCACUUGUUAGCUGAGACGUGAUGCGUAGCCUUAAUUGGUGAAGUUGGUGAUCCCGUGCUGUCGAGAAAAGCCUCUAGCGAUGUAUAUACUCGGCCCGUACCCCAAACCGACACAGGUAGUCAGGUUGAAAAUACUAAGGCGUUCGGGUGAACUGUGGUUAAGGAACUCGGCAAAAUGCCCCCGUAACUUCGGGAGAAGGGGGACCCUAUGGCGUGAACACCCAUUUGCGGUGGGAAGCGUUGUGGGGUCGCAGAGAAUAGAGGGAAGCGACUGUUUAUCAAAAACACAGGUCCAUGCGAAGACGUUAAGUUGAUGUAUAUGGACUGACGCCUGCCCGGUGCUGGAAGGUUAAGAGGACCGGUUAAUCAAGCUUUGCUUGGUGAAGCUGAGAAUUUAAGCCCCAGUAAACGGCGGUGGUAACUAUAACCAUCCUAAGGUAGCGAAAUUCCUUGUCGGGUAAGUUCCGACCUGC
Molecule: ribosomal RNA, 862 nt
Filed under: Corynebacterium striatum
Lineage: Bacteria; Bacillati; Actinomycetota; Actinomycetes; Mycobacteriales; Corynebacteriaceae
Description: partial 23S ribosomal RNA
Rfam family: Bacterial large subunit ribosomal RNA
Source: RNAcentral